Molecule: long non-coding RNA, 963 nt
Organism: Manis javanica (Malayan pangolin)
Lineage: Eukaryota; Metazoa; Chordata; Mammalia; Pholidota; Manidae
Source: RefSeq, a predicted model, not a curated record
GCUGGGUGGACUUGUCUAUACCUUCUCAGCAAAAAAACAAAAACAGGAACAAAACAAAAGAAAACAUGUGCUUCGCAGGGAACUCUGAAGCCUUGGGAUGAGCAACCCUUAACCUCCUUAAGGUGUGUUCCGCCCACCUUCUCCUCCUCUCCUCGCCCUCUCUCCUCCCCGUGGUUCUCUGCAGGGCUGCCUGGGUGCAGCAGAGCAAGGCGAGGCUUAUUCAGGUAGAAGCCGGUGCAUGCAGGAGGGGGAGACAGGAGUUUAGGGUGUUUUCACGUGGGGACUAAGCUGGGGAAGGAAUGAAGGAGAGGGAGGUUUCUGGAGCCCAGAAACAGGAAGAAGGCCCAGUCGGUACUAAACCCAGCACUGUCCGAGUCCAGCCUCCUCUCCCUUCCCUCAGUGCUCUGGGGUCUGAGAGAACUCAGCGGGAUCUCUGGGACCCAGAAAAACAAACAACGGCUGCAGGGGGGGGCACUGGAGCCGUCUGGAGAGCCGGUCACUGUGAACAGUGGGAUGUGUGCACAGGCACUGUCUAGAAGGAGCCCGCCGUAAGGACCUAAAGGCCGGGCCGUGGGGUGGUGGAUGAGACGAGCCGGAUGCCACGGCCGGUGGGUGAACGCUUCCUAGCCUUCUUGCCACCCCCCUCCCCGCCUACACACACAGGCCCCCUGGGGAGGAACUGACUCUAUCAGAGCUGCUGGCUCGCAACCCUGUCGAUUUUUCGCUGCAAUCCUGACAAAGAACCGCUGCGCCACCUGGUGGCCGUACCUGGGAACAUCACUUCUAAUCACCCAGAAUCCAGGCAAGAAGUGCGGCCCGUACCAGGUUUGCGGAAGGAUCUGUGGAGGACAUCAGUUCACCAAACUCAUAUACGCGGGUACAUGUUUCCCCGUACGUGAUGCCACAAAUACUUUAUGACAUUGAGAGAGAUUUUUAAUUAAAUAAUUAUUUUAUUUAUCUGUA